Molecule: long non-coding RNA, 1667 nt
Organism: Triplophysa rosa
Lineage: Eukaryota; Metazoa; Chordata; Actinopteri; Cypriniformes; Nemacheilidae
Exons: 3
Source: RefSeq, a predicted model, not a curated record
AGUGUAUGGAUAGUCCAACCUUUACUAUCGAUAGAUUUUUUUAAAUCACUUUUUAACAUCAUAUAGAGUACACACGGCCAUUGUCUCAAGCAUGAGCGAGCAUGGUGCUCCAGCUUCUCAGUUAAAUCACUCUGGAGCUCUCAAACCUCAGUCGUGUGCAUUCAGUAUCACACAAGUGUUGUUUUCGAGGUUUUGUCUGCUAAUCGUCUCCUUUUGAGCUCCACAGGUGAAGGAAGGUCACACGGGUGAGUAAAUGAUGACUGUUUUUCAUUUUCGGCUGAAUCUUAAAAAAAUAAAUACGUACACAACCGAGGCGAUAUUGUUGACAUAUAUAUGUAUAAAAUGUUCAUAGCAAAGCUGUAUUUCUUCUUUAAACAAUUUUGUUGAGUUUGAGUUUAUAUGGAGAACUCUGACUUUUGACCCAAACCCCGAGACCAACUUUGAGAUUUAGUUGAGAUCUCUUUUGAAACUUGCUCCAUCUUGACACCACGGUUAUUUGUAUAUAGGCUUUUAAAAAGGACUGUUGUGUACAUACUGUACGAUUAUGUUUCGCUCUAUACAGAAAAGAUAAGUUGACUGUCAAAAAAAUAAUUCACUACCACGCAAAGCAACCCGACUGAUCCUGAAUCAGCAGAGAGAGGGAUGUUGUGUUAAAAGCAAACGCACAGAAGAUAUGACAAGACAUUGAUCUUAGUGUUUUGAGAUUUUGUGUUUGGUCGCCAUGGCAAGACGUCUUUCCCCCUUCCAUCUUUAUGUUGGUUUCUAUUGAGAGGUGAGGAAGCAGAAUGGGUGGAAUGUUAGAAGGAACGUGACAUCUCUACCAUCCUUCAGACACGCCGCCUUCUCCAAGCACUUUACAUUUGACCCGUGACUGCUCUUGAUCUUCAUACGCUGUUUGACGCUGCUUCAUCAGACGCUGCAAAAUAAUAAAUUGUUAUACAUUUUGAGUCUUUUAGUUGCAUGAUGUGAGCAUCUUCUAAUAUCUGAAGCAUUGAAGUUUAAGCCAGUGGAGGUCAUGCAUGAAUAGAAUUCAAGUUUAACGGUUCAGGGAUCAAACUCAUUCAGAUGAGGAGUUUUGAUGAAAAUUUGGAUCCCACGCACUGACUUGACUCUUCUGACCUUGUAGGUGACCUUCUCCGCAGUCAGUUGGGCGUUUUAUGGGAAAGAGAUGGAGUGUCUAUGGAGACCGCCAAAUGUUGAUGGGCAAUGUUAACUGACAGGUUACUGAUGAUGUCAGAUGGUUUUCUGACACCAGCCGCUGAGCCAUCAUAACCUGAGGACACGGGAAAAUCUCCUCGGAGACUUCGGCACCGUUGUGAUAAUUACGAGAAUGCAGACGGAUGAUUAGGACGCCGGCCUUGUCCCUCACAGUGCAUUCUGGGAUCGAUACGUGCAGUGCUACCUCAGAUUUUGGCCAAAAUAAGGUAACCUAGAAGGCAUAAAUUUGUUGCUGUCUACCUUUUGGAUCCAUUGUUCUGUGCUGUUCUGAAGCUGAGACGUUUAUUAUAUUGUGUUUUCAUUGUACUGAUUGUAUAAUAUUAUUCAGCCGUACUGUUCCACUCCUCAAACUCAACUCAGUCCAGACAAUUUUCCCUUCAUUUACAGCCCGGUGGAAUUACACUGAGAGAUCCAGUCAGCCACAAAUUCACUGCAUAUCUUUUUUCUCA